CCCUUAGAUGUUCUGGGCCGCACGCGCGCUACAAUGAUGAAUUCAACGAGUUUAUAACCUUGGUUGAAAAGCCUGGGUAAUCUUUUGAACUUUCGUCGUGAUGGGGCUAGACCCUUGCAAUUAUUGGUCUCCAACGAGGAAUUCCUAGUAAACGCAAGUCAUCAGCUUGCAUUGAUUACGUCCCUGCCCUUUGUACACACCGCCCGUCGCACCUACCGAUUGAAUGGUCCGGUGAAAUCUUCGGAUUGAGACUUUGAUUUCUUCACGGAAAACGCUGUUUUAAAAAGUUGAUUAAACCUUACCAUUUAGAGGAAGGUAAAGUCGUAACA
RNAcentral lists this ribosomal RNA (329 nucleotides) under uncultured eukaryote. RNAcentral's name for it is "partial 18S ribosomal RNA". It matches the Rfam family "Eukaryotic small subunit ribosomal RNA", at positions 1470 to 1796 of the family's 1831-position model. The record is from RNAcentral.